RNAcentral lists this transfer RNA (63 nucleotides) under Cryphalus abietis. Its description in RNAcentral is "tRNA-Cys". RNAcentral also lists the same sequence under 1 other name. Lineage: Eukaryota; Metazoa; Arthropoda; Insecta; Coleoptera; Curculionidae. The record is from RNAcentral.
AGUUAUAUAUUCAAAAAUGAUUUUAAGUUGCAAACUUAGAGGGGGUAAAUUUACCUAUAACUU